RNAcentral lists this ribosomal RNA (253 nucleotides) under uncultured bacterium. RNAcentral describes it as "partial 16S ribosomal RNA". It matches the Rfam family "Bacterial small subunit ribosomal RNA", at positions 524 to 776 of the family's 1533-position model. The record is from RNAcentral.
UACGAAGGGGGCUAGCGUUGCUCGGAAUCACUGGGCGUAAAGGGUGCGUAGGCGGGUCUUUUAGUCCGGGGUGAAAUCCUGGAGCUCAACUCCAGAACUGCCUUUGAUACUGAGGAUCUUGAGUCCGGGAGAGGUGAGUGGAACUGCGAGUGUAGAGGUGAAAUUCGUAGAUAUUCGCAAGAACACCAGUGGCGAAGGCGGCUCACUGGCCCGGUACUGACGCUGAGGCACGAAAGCGUGGGGAGCAAACAGG